AAAACCUUAAAAGAAAAACACUUCCCAAACAUUUCCCAAAUCUACCUCAAGUUCAAAUUAUAUCAGACAGACAGAAACUCUCUUAUUUACUUUGGAAAAUGCCCAAAUGCCAAAUCAUGGCAGCAAAAUUUAUCUCCUCAUACUACAAACUGAGGACAACCAGUGGAAACUCAUUAUUAUUAUUAGUUUAAUUAUUGUUUGUAAUUUUAAAAGAGAGAGGCUAAGCAUUUGGUCAAAAAAAUAAUUCACUUUUAAACCUGAUUUGAUGUUUUAUGAAUUCUAAUUAUAUGCAGGUUUAAUGAAAGAGGUUAAUUGAGCCUCAUUUUGUCGUCUCUCCCAUCAGUUAGACUCUGGUCCUGUGUAUGAGAACAUCUCAGACUUUAAGAGCGUCACUGCAGCACAGACAGAAGACACAGAGCAGCAGGAAGACAUGGUGUGAAGUCCAGUCAGAUGCAGUUGAACCAGACUCAUGGAAACAAAGUAGGACGACUGAAAUAUCAACGCGGAGAUCGAAGCUGUGGAGGAAGUGGAUCCAUUUACCUACAACUCCAAACGUUUUCCUUUUCAGUUUCCAGUAGCAGCAGCAGGGUGGAGUCAGCAGCACAGACAGCAGCCGCAUGUAGCAGAAAGUUUAGAAGAAGGUGGUGUUGGCAGGUUGAACUGAAUCAUGUCGACGUUUCAGACGUGAUUUAUUGUUUAGAUCAGCGGAUAGUCAGGUUGUCUGUGACUUAUCUUACUGCUUAAACUAUAAUGUAAGCUUAUUAUUUCCAGUUAGUUAUAUUAGUUAGUUAUAUUACAGAAUGUGAGGACUGAACUGUGAAGUUUUUAUGGAAAAUGUUAUUUUGAACUGAACAAAAUAAACAACUUCUGUGUUUGCA
This is a long non-coding RNA of Micropterus salmoides (largemouth bass), 878 nucleotides long. RefSeq lists it as uncharacterized. NCBI's taxonomy places the organism in Eukaryota, Metazoa, Chordata, Actinopteri, Centrarchiformes, Centrarchidae. The transcript has 2 exons. The record is from RefSeq and is a predicted model, not a curated record.